AUGUAUGAUGAUGCCACUGCACUCCAGCCUGGGGGUCAGCCAGAUUCUGUCUUAAAAACAACAACAACAACAACAAAACCUGCUGAAUGAAUGGACCUGUCAGCCCCAAAUCCAAGGCCAGGCCAUCCUCUCCCUCCACAUCCUGGCACAGGCCUGCCUCCCCCUGCCCCAGCCCAGGGCCAGGCCACACUCUGCCUCCAAAGCCACCGUCCCCCCGAGGCACCACUGCAUCCCCCAAGGGGCGGAUUCGGAGGAAGGAGGAGGCAAAGGAGAGCCCCAGCGCCGCAGGGCCCGAGGAUAAGAGCCAGAGCAAGCGCAGGGCCAGUAACGAGAAGGAGUCAGCAGCCCCAGCCUCACCGGCACCUUCACCGGCACCUUCACCGGCGCCCUCGCCCACCCCAGCCCCGCCCCAGAAGGAGCAGCCCCCCGCGGAGACCCCUACAGCCCCUGCUCCCCCGGUGACCCCUAGCAAACCAAUGGCCGGCACCACAGACCGAGAAGAAGCCACUCGGCUCUUGGCUGAGAAGCGGCGCCAGGCCCGGGAGCAGCGGGAGCGCGAGGAGCAGGAGCGGAGGCUGCAGGCAGAAAGGGACAAGCGAAUGCGAGAGGAGCAGCUGGCACGGGAGGCCGAGGCCCGGGCGGAGCGGGAGGCGGAGGCCCGGAGGCGGGAGGAGCAGGAGGCACGAGAGAAGGCGCAGGCCGAGCAGGAGGAGCAGGAGCGGCUGCAGAAGCAGAAAGAGGAGGCCGAAGCUCGGUCGCGGGAAGAGGCGGAGCGGCAGCGUCUGGAGCGGGAAAAGCACUUCCAGCAGCAGGAGCAAGAGCGGCAAGAGCGCAGAAAGCGUCUGGAGGAGAUCAUGAAGAGGACUCGGAAGUCAGAAGUUUCUGAAACCAAGAAGCAGGACAGCAAGGAGGCCAACGCCAACGGUUCCAGCCCAGAGCCUGUGAAAGCUGUGGAGGCUCGGUCCCCAGGGCUGCAGAAGGAGGCUGUGCAGAAAGAGGAGCCCAUCCCACAGGAGCCUCAGUGGAGUCUCCCAAGCAAGGAGUUGCCAGCGUCCCUGGUGAAUGGCCUGCAGCCUCUCCCAGCACACCAGGAGAAUGGCUUCUCCACCAAGGGACCCUCUGGGGACAAGAGUCUGAGCCGAACACCAGAGGCACUCCUGCCCUUUGCAGAGGCAGAAGCCUUCCUCAAGAAAGCUGUGGUGCAGUCCCCGCAGGUCACAGAAGUCCUUUAAGAGGGUUUGCCUUGGAUCCGGGCACAGUUGUGAGGGCUCCUCUGCAUCACCUACCAGGAUGUCUGGAGGAGAAAAAGACAGAACAAAGAUGGAAGUGGCCUGGGCCCCUGGGGGCGGGUCCUCUCUGUUGUUUUUAAUCUGCACCUUAUAGACUGAUGUCUCUUUGGCCGGAGCCAGAUCUGCCCCUCAGUGCAUUCGUGUGCUCGCACGCGCAGACAUCCCUUCUCCCCCAUACACACGUAUACACUCACAGCCUCUCUGGCCUCUUCCCUUGGGGAGGGGCCACCUGUAGUAUUUGCCUUGAUUUGGUGGGGUACAGUGGAUGUGAAUACUGUAAAUAGCUUGUGCUCAGACUCCUCUGCGUGGAGAGGGUGGGUGCAGGAGGCAGACCCUCCCCCCAAAGCCCCCUGGGGAGAUCUUCCUCUCUCUAUUUAACUGUAACUGAGGGGGAUCCCAGGUCUGGGGAUGGGGGACACCUUGGGCCACAGGAUACUGGUUGCUUCAGGGGUACCCAUGCCCCCUGCCCUCGCCUGGAAUCAGUGUUACUGCAUCUGAUUAAAUGUCUCCAGAAAUA
This 1806-nucleotide small RNA is filed under the name Pan troglodytes (chimpanzee). RNAcentral describes it as "processed transcript". Lineage: Eukaryota; Metazoa; Chordata; Mammalia; Primates; Hominidae. The record is from RNAcentral.